CAGUCGCCGCGGUAACACGUAGGGUGCGAGCGUUAAUCGGAAUUACUGGGCGUAAAGCGUGCGCAGGCGGUUAUAUAAGACAGAUGUGAAAUCCCCGGGCUCAACCUGGGACCUGCAUUUGUGACUGUAUAGCUAGAGUACGGUAGAGGGGGAUGGAAUUCCGCGUGUAGCAGUGAAAUGCGUAGAUAUGCGGAGGAACACCGAUGGCGAAGGCAAUCCCCUGGACCUGUACUGACGCUCAUGCACGAAAGCGUGGGGAGCAAACAGGAUUAGAGACCCCCGUAGUCCCUGUCUCUUAUAC
This 301-nucleotide ribosomal RNA is filed under the name uncultured bacterium. Its description in RNAcentral is "partial 16S ribosomal RNA". It matches the Rfam family "Bacterial small subunit ribosomal RNA", at positions 509 to 807 of the family's 1533-position model. The record is from RNAcentral.